GACGAACGCUGGCGGCGUGCUUAACACAUGCAAGUCGAACGGAAAGGCCCUGCUUUUGUGGGGUGCUCGAGUGGCGAACGGGUGAGUAACACGUGAGUAACCUGCCCUUGACUUUGGGAUAACUUCAGGAAACUGGGGCUAAUACCGGAUAGGAGCUCCUGCUGCAUGGUGGGGGUUGGAAAGUUUCGGCGGUUGGGGAUGGACUCGCGGCUUAUCAGCUUGUUGGUGGGGUAGUGGCUUACCCAGGCUUUGACGGGUAGCCGGCCUGAGAGGGUGACCGGCCACAUUGGGACUGAGAGACGGCCCAGACUCCUACGGGGGGCAGCAGUGGGGAAUAUUGCACAAUGGGCGGAAGCCUGAUGCAGCAACGCCGCGUGCGGGAUGACGGCCUUCGGGUUGUAAACCGCUUUCGCCUGUGACGAAGCGUGAGUGACGGUAAUGGGUAAAGAAGCACCGGCUAACUACGUG
This 468-nucleotide ribosomal RNA is filed under the name uncultured bacterium. RNAcentral describes it as "partial 16S ribosomal RNA". It matches the Rfam family "Bacterial small subunit ribosomal RNA", at positions 28 to 507 of the family's 1533-position model. The record is from RNAcentral.